UUCCAAGCUACGAAGAGCCAACGGUGGAUGCCUAGGUGCCUACGACCGAUGAAGGACGUGAGAGGCUGCGAUAAGCCUCGGGGAGCUGCCGACUGAGCUUUGAUCCGGGGAUGUCCGAAUGGGGAAACCUGAUACCUGUAAAGGGGUAUCACUCCGGUGUGAACACAUAGCGCCGGUAGAGGGAACCAGGUGAACUGAAACAUCUAAGUAACCUGUAGGAAAGGAAAGCAACCGCGACUCCCUUAGUAGCGGCGAGCGAAAAGGGAAGAGCCUAAACCGUGCCGGUGGAAUAGCCUGGUGGCGUUGCCGGUCCGGUGUUGUGGGGCCUCAGAGGAGGAGCGCCAGAUCCUCCACGAAGUUACAAACGUGCGUGGUAGUGGAAUCGUUCUGGAAAGGCGAGCCGCAGGGGGUAAGAGCCCCGUACACGAAACUGCUGCACACUUCGCUGAGUGUCCCCGAGUAGCGCCGUUGCCGUGUAAUUCGGCGUGAAUCUGCGAGGACCACCUCGUAAGGCUAAGUAUAUGUAGGCAACCGAUAGUGAACUAGUACCGUGAGGGAAAGGUGAAAAGUACCCCGGGAGGGGAGUGAAAUAGUACCUGAAACCGUUGGUUUACAAGCAGUCAGAGCGUCGUCUCAACCGAUGAUCUUCGGAUCGUCAAUCUGAGAUCGCGAUGGCGUGCCUUUUGAAGAAUGAGCCAACGAGUUACGGUAUGUGGCGAGAUUAACCUGUGAAGGGAAGUCGGAGCGAAAGCGAGUCAUAACUGGGCGUACAGUCGCAUGCCGUAGACCCGAAGCCGGGUGAUCUAUCCAUGGGCAGUGUGAAGCGGGGGUAAGACUCCGUGGAGGCGCGAACCGACCUAGGUUGAAAACUGGGCGGAUGACCUGUGGAUAGGGGUGAAAGGCCAAUCAAACACGGUGAUAUCUGGUUCUCCCCGAAAUGCAUUUUGGUGCAGCGUCGCACGUUCAGCCAUGGAGGUAGAGCACUGAUUGGGCUAGGGGGCCCACAAGCUUACCGACCCCAGUCAAACUCCGAAUGCCAUGGCUCCAGAGUGCGGCAGUGAGUCCACGGGGGAUGAGCUUCGUUGGACGAGAGGGAAACAGCCCAGAGCGCCGGCUAAGGCCCCUAAGUGUGUAUUAAGUGGCAAACGAUGUGGGAUUGCCCAGACAGCCAGGAGGUUGGCUUAGAAGCAGCCACCCUUGAAAGAGUGCGUAACAGCUCACUGGUCGAGUGAUCCUGCGCGGACAAUGUAACGGGGCUAAAGCUAGAAACCGAAGUUGCGGAUUUCUGCCAUUAGGCAGGAGUGGUAGCGGAGCGUCGGGCUUGGAGUGAAGCGGCAGCGCAAGCUGACGUGGACCGAGUCCGAGUGAGAAUGUUGGUAUGAGUAGCGAGAGAGGGGUGAGAAACCUUUCCGCCGAAAGCCCAAGGGUUCCUGGGGAAGGCUAAUCCUCCCAGGGUGAGUCGGGAGCUAAGGCGAGGCCGACAGGCGUAGUCGAUGCACAACCGGUUGAUAUUCCGGUACCGCUGUGAACGCGUCCAGGCUUAACCGGUGUUGCUAAGGGGAUGUCUGCCCCGCAAAGGGGCAGAAGAAACCGACCCACACCGGAGCGGCCAGCAACGCGGGGACGCAGAGAGGUAGGUGAACCCAGGCGACGGUAGUUCCUGGGGUAAGCGUGUAGGGCGGGGCCUAGGUAAGUCCGGUCUCCAUAAAGCCUGAGGCGUGAUACCGAACCGCAUGAGGUGAAGUCACUGAUCCUGUACUGCCAAGAAAAGCCGCUAGCGAGCUUUCACAGCGCCCGUACCCCAAACCAACACAGGUGGGCAGGUAGAGAAUACCAAGGCGAUUGGGAGAACUAUGGUUAAGGAACUCGGCAAAUUACAUCCGUAACUUUGGGAUAAGGAUGACCCUAGUAAAGUGAAGGACUUCGCGUCUGGAGCUUGAUCGGGUGGCACAAACCAGGGGAAAGCGACUGUUUACUAAAAACACAGCAGCGUGCGAAGUCGUAAGACGCUGUAUACGCUGUGACGCCUGCCCGGUGCUGGAAGGUUACGGGGAGGGGUUAGCCGUAAGGCGAAGCUCUGAACCUAAGCCCCAGUAAACGGCGGCCGUAACUAUAACGGUCCUAAGGUAGCGAAAUUCCUUGUCGGGU
Molecule: ribosomal RNA, 2148 nt
Filed under: bacterium
Lineage: Bacteria
Description: partial 23S ribosomal RNA
Rfam family: Bacterial large subunit ribosomal RNA
Source: RNAcentral